RNAcentral lists this ribosomal RNA (198 nucleotides) under [Acremonium] cucurbitacearum. RNAcentral's name for it is "Acremonium cucurbitacearum partial large subunit ribosomal RNA". It matches the Rfam family "Eukaryotic large subunit ribosomal RNA", at positions 82 to 279 of the family's 3401-position model. Lineage: Eukaryota; Fungi; Ascomycota; Sordariomycetes; Hypocreales; Bionectriaceae. The record is from RNAcentral.
AGUAACGGCGAGUGAAGCGGCAACAGCUCAAAUUUGAAAUCUGGCUCCUUCGGGGCCCGAGUUGUAAUUUGCAGAGGAUGCGUCGGGUGCGGGUUCCUUCCGAGUUCCCUGGAACGGGACGCCAUAGAGGGUGAGAGCCCCGUCUGGUAGGACACCCAGCCCGUGUGACGCUCCCUCGACGAGUCGAGUUGUUUGGGA